Molecule: long non-coding RNA, 540 nt
Organism: Oryzias melastigma (Indian medaka)
Lineage: Eukaryota; Metazoa; Chordata; Actinopteri; Beloniformes; Adrianichthyidae
Exons: 2
Source: RefSeq, a predicted model, not a curated record
ACAUGGACGGAGAUUCAGUUUCUGGACAGAAGAGGCAUUGCUGCUUCUGCAGGAACUCUGCAGCUGAUCUUCAGGUUCCAGAGACGACCACCUCCACACCUGAAGUCCAGUCAGACAGGAUGUGUCGGCAACAGGAAGAGAGGAGCAGUGAAGACAUUUGAUUCAGAGAGACUCCCCCCCCCCCACCGCCACAAACACUACUGCUGUCACUUUUGUCUAAAUAAAUUGUUAAUAAUUUAUUUCCUGCAUUUUUAUUGAACAUUUCAUAAUCCACUGUAACAUAACUCUAGCAGAUGAUUAUGACAUAACAUGAACAAAAACAGGAACCAAAGAUAUGAUCCAAGAAUGCUAACAGCUCAGUCACUUUUGUCUCCUCCUUCAGAGGUCGCCUCAGCCAAUCAGCAUCAGCGCUUCACACGGGUGGUUUUUACACCUGUGUGAUAUUGACAUGGAACACCAGAUGUUCUAAAGUUUAUUCAUUUGAAUUACUAAAAAUGUUUAGUUCAACAUGAAAUUAGCAAAAAAGAAAACAAAGAAAAA